This 216-nucleotide ribosomal RNA is filed under the name Glomeromycotina sp. Its description in RNAcentral is "partial small subunit ribosomal RNA". The stretch from base 40 to 216 matches the Rfam family "Eukaryotic small subunit ribosomal RNA", at positions 686 to 864 of the family's 1831-position model. The record is from RNAcentral. Lineage: Eukaryota; Fungi; Glomeromycota.
GGGUCAGUAGGUUGGUCGUGCCACCGGUACGUACUGGUCUCACUGAUUCCUCCUUCCUGAAGAACCGUAAUGCCAUUAAUUUGGUGUUGCGGGGAAACAGGACUGUUACUUUGAAAAAAUUAGAGUGUUUCCAGCAAGCUAACGCUUGAAUACAUUAGCAUGGAAUAAUGAAAUAGGACGAUCGAUCCUAUUUUGUUGGUUUCUAGGAUUGACGUA